Molecule: ribosomal RNA, 896 nt
Filed under: uncultured archaeon
Lineage: Archaea
Description: bacterial SSU rRNA
Rfam family: Archaeal small subunit ribosomal RNA
Source: RNAcentral
CCCGACUGCUAUUUGGGUGAGAAUAAGCCAUGCGAGUUGAAUGGGAUACCUAAAGUUCCCAUAGCGAACUGCUCAGUAACACAUGAUCAACUUACCCUAUAGAGAAAAAUAACCUCGGGAAACUGAGGAUAAUGUUUCAUAAUUGAAUUGGCUUGGAAAAGUUUUUCAAUGAAAAGGAUAAAAAAAAUGGUUUUUAUCUGCUAUAGGAUAGGAUCGUGUUCGAUUAUGGUUGUUGGUGAGAUAAUGGCUCACCAAGCCGAUAAUCGAUAGGGGCCGUGAGAGCGGGAGCCCCGAGAUGGGUACUGAGACAACGACCCAGGCCUUACGAGGCGCAGCAGGCGCGGAACCUCCGCAAUACACGAAAGUGUGACGGGGUUACCCAAAGUGUUCAAUUUGAACUGUGGUAGGUGAGUAAUGUCCCCUACUAGAAAGGAGAGGGCAAGGCUGGUGCCAGCCGCCGCGGUAAAACCAGCUCUUCAAGUGGUCGGGAUAAUAUUGGGCUUAAAGUGUCCGUAGCCGGUUUAGUAAGUUCCUGGUAAAAUCGGGUAGCUUAACUAUCUGCAUGCUAGGAAUACUGCUAUACUAGAGGGCGGGAGAGGUCUGAGGUACUGCAGGGGUAGGGGUGAAAUCUUAUAAUCCUUGUAGGACCACCAGUGGCGAAGGCGUCAGACUGGGAACGCGCCUGACGGUGAGGGACGAAAGCCAGGGGAGCGAACCGGAUUAGAUACCCGGGUAGUCCUGGCCGUAAACGAUGCAUACUAGGUGAUGGUACGGCCAUGAGCCGUAUCAGUGCCGUAGGGAAACCGUUAAGUGUGCCGCCUGGGAAGUACGGUCGCAAGGCUAAAACUUAAAGGAAUUGGCGGGGGAGCACCACAAGGGGUGAAGCCUGCGGUUCA